Molecule: ribosomal RNA, 498 nt
Filed under: uncultured bacterium
Lineage: Bacteria
Description: partial 16S ribosomal RNA
Rfam family: Bacterial small subunit ribosomal RNA
Source: RNAcentral
ACUCAAAGGAAUUGACGGGGGCCCGCACAAGCGGUGGAGCAUGUGGUUCAAUUCGACGCAACGCGAAGAACCUUACCUGGGCUCGAAGCGCAGUGGACCGGGGUGGAAACAUCCCUUUCCGCAAGGACCGCUGCGGAGGUGCUGCAUGGCUGUCGUCAGCUCGUGUCGUGAGAUGUUGGGUUAAGUCCCGCAACGAGCGCAACCCUUAUCGCUAGUUGCCAGCGGGUCAAGCCGGGCACUCUAGCGAAACUGCCUCGGAUAACGGGGAGGAAGGUGGGGAUGACGUCAAGUCCUCAUGGCCUUUAUGUCCAGGGCUACACACGUGCUACAAUGCGCGGUACAAACCGUCGCAAACCCGCGAGGGGGAGCUAAUCGGAAAAAGCCGCGCUCAGUUCGGAUUGGAGUCUGCAACCCGACUCCAUGAAGCUGGAAUCGCUAGUAAUCGCAGAUCAGAACGCUGCGGUGAAUACGUUCCCGGGCCUUGUACACACCGCCCGU